This 497-nucleotide ribosomal RNA is filed under the name uncultured Lachnospiraceae bacterium. RNAcentral describes it as "bacterial SSU rRNA". It matches the Rfam family "Bacterial small subunit ribosomal RNA", at positions 15 to 507 of the family's 1533-position model. The record is from RNAcentral. Lineage: Bacteria; Bacillati; Bacillota; Clostridia; Lachnospirales; Lachnospiraceae.
UAUCCUGGCUCAGGAUGAACGCUGGCGGCGUGCUUAACACAUGCAAGUCGAACGGAAGAUAUGCAGAGAUGAGAUUUCGGUCAAAUCAAGUGUAUCUUUAGUGGCGGACGGGUGAGUAACGCGUGGGUAACCUGCCAUAUACAGGGGGAUAACACUUAGAAAUAGGUGCUAAUACCGCAUAAGCGCACAUGGCCGCAUGGCCAGGUGUGAAAAACUCCGGUGGUAUAUGAUGGACCCGCGUCUGAUUAGCUAGUUGGUGAGGUAACGGCCCACCAAGGCGACGAUCAGUAGCCGGCCUGAGAGGGUGGACGGCCACAUUGGGACUGAGACACGGCCCAAACUCCUACGGGAGGCAGCAGUGGGGGAUAUUGGACAAUGGGGGGAACCCUGAUCCAGCGACGCCGCGUGAGUGAAGAAGUAUCUCGGUAUGUAAAGCUCUAUCAGCAGGGAAGAAAGAAAUGACGGUACCUGAGUAAGAAGCCCCGGCUAACUACGUG